CUCUGUGCCCAUAUUUAUAUGGAUUCAUAAAUAACCACCAGAACCUGUCUGAUCUUGGAAGCUAAGCAGGAUCAGCUCUGGUUAGUACUUGGAUGGGAGACUGGCCAAUGAAGACCAAGGGUUGUAGUCU
Molecule: non-coding RNA, 130 nt
Organism: Anolis carolinensis (green anole)
Lineage: Eukaryota; Metazoa; Chordata; Lepidosauria; Squamata; Anolidae
Source: Rfam